GACGAACGCUGGCGGCGUGCUUAACACAUGCAAGUCGAGCGGUAAGGCCCUUUCGGGGUACACGAGCGGCGAACGGGUGAGUAACACGUGGGUGACCUGCCCUUAGCUCUGGGAUAAGCCUGGGAAACUGGGUCUAAUACCGGAUAUGACUCCAUGACGCAUGUUGUGGGGUGGAAAGCCUUGUGCGGCUAGGGAUGGGCCCGCGGCCUAUCAGCUUGUUGGUGGGUGAUGGCCUACCAAGGCGACGACGGGUAGCCGGCCUGAGAGGCGACCGGCCGACACUGGGACUGAGACACGGCCCAGACUCCUACGGGAGGCAGGCAGUGGGGAAUCUUGCGCAAUGGGCGAAAGCCUGACGCAGCGACGCCGCGUGGGGA
Molecule: ribosomal RNA, 377 nt
Filed under: uncultured bacterium
Lineage: Bacteria
Description: bacterial SSU rRNA
Rfam family: Bacterial small subunit ribosomal RNA
Source: RNAcentral